CAGUCGACGGACCCUUCGGGGUUAGUGGCGGACGGGUGAGUAACACGUGGGAACGUGCCUUUAGGUUCGGAAUAGCUCCUGGAAACGGGUGGUAAUGCCGAAUGUGCCCUUCGGGGGAAAGAUUUAUCGCCUUUAGAGCGGCCCGCGUCUGAUUAGCUAGUUGGUGAGGUAACGGCUCACCAAGGCGACGAUCAGUAGCUGGUCUGAGAGGAUGACCAGCCACACUGGGACUGAGACACGGCCCAGACUCCUACGGGAGGCAGCAGUGGGGAAUCUUGCGCAAUGGGCGAAAGCCUGACGCAGCCAUGCCGCGUGAAUGAUGAAGGUCUUAGGAUUGUAAAAUUCUUUCACCGGGGACGAUAAUGACGGUACCCGGAGAAGAAGCCCCGGCUAACUUCGUGCCAGC
RNAcentral lists this ribosomal RNA (406 nucleotides) under bacterium 2311-S5-01-3.1.1. RNAcentral's name for it is "bacterial SSU rRNA". It matches the Rfam family "Bacterial small subunit ribosomal RNA", at positions 59 to 512 of the family's 1533-position model. The record is from RNAcentral.